AUUGAACGCUGGCGGCAUGCUUUACACAUGCAAGUCGAGCGGCAGCGCGGGGGCAACCCUGGCGGCGAGCGGCGAACGGGUGAGUAAUGCAUCGGAACGUACCCUGGAGUGGGGGGAUAACGCCGCGAAAGCGGCGCUAAUACCGCAUAUGCUCUGAGGAGGAAAGUGGGGGACCGCAAGGCCUCACGCUCUGGGAGCGGCCGAUGUCCGAUUAGCUAGUUGGUGAGGUAAAGGCUUACCAAGGCGACGAUCGGUAGCUGGUCUGAGAGGAUGAUCAGCCACACUGGGACUGAGACACGGCCCAGACUCCUACGGGAGGCAGCAGUGGGGAAUCUUGGACAAUGGGGGCAACCCUGAUCCAGCCAUGCCGCGUGAGUGAAGAAGGCCUU
Molecule: ribosomal RNA, 389 nt
Filed under: uncultured bacterium
Lineage: Bacteria
Description: bacterial SSU rRNA
Rfam family: Bacterial small subunit ribosomal RNA
Source: RNAcentral